CUUGUUCUCACAGAAUUUCUUUGCUUUUUAACUUCUAGAUGGGUUAUUCAGGGUUAUUUCAGGCCACUUUGGAAAUUCACCCAGGAUGUUUCAGUUGGUGCAGAUUUCAGAUACAUCAUUGCUUCAGGUAGAAGCUAAAACUCAAAAAGUGUCAAAUGGGGCUAUUAUGGCAUUAUUCCCAGAAGAGAGACAGAGUUCCUGCUCCCAACUUGCCAGUCUCUGGUAGACACUGAAUACCCAGCUAAGAUGCAUCAUGAAUAUUUGACCAGAACUGCUCUUUCAUCCAAGACAUGAAGUUGGGUUUGCUCAAAAGUGCUCCAUGGAGUGGCAAUGGUGCAUAAGACACGGGACUUAAGAAGUCAUUGAAGGCGUGCAUACUGUGUGUCUCCAGUUAUCUUGGCAUCUACUUCUGCUCUAAUAUUUUACCUUCAAUCCACAUCUUGUCUCACAGGGAGUUCCCUUUGAUCAGUUGACUGAAAAGGUAAAAAUUCAAGUGUGGUUUAUUGUGGUUUUGUACAAAAGCGGGCACUAGCUGAAUUGGACUACUGCAGUCUUGUAUUACAUGUUGGAGGUGGCCCAGAAGGAUUUUGGGGAAGGAAACCCUUCCAAUAGGAAAAAUUACAAGCAGUGCAUCUGAAUAUUUACUUUGCUUGGAAGGAGAAAGGGACAGAGAUAUAAAUCUUGAGGAAUUAAUAGAUAGUGGCUAAUGGCUUGGCCAGAAGUUCAGGAAGAAUAUUGAAGGACUGAUGAAAUGUAGAUCUGGGAAAGAAUUUGUGGAUAGAUUCCUUAGAAUAGUCAAGGAUGUGAAGUUCCCCCAUUACAGAAGAGGAUCUCAGUGAUCAAUGAUCAGGAUGACUCAUUGUCAGUCAGCUUCUCCUCACCAACUCCAGAGCUGGCUCACUGGGGUCAUGAACAAAAUGGCAGCAAUGAAAUUUCCAUGAUUUUAGUAACAUGGGCUUCCCCUCACCAAGAGCGAUCUGAUUACUGCCAAUUUAGUUAUUUAACCUGGACAUCCUAUUAAUGUCAAAUUAGUAACAUUUUAAGAGAGAAACAGAUAUUGAUGGAACUCUGGGGAGACAGUGUGGCCUAUACUAAUCCCUCAGAAUAGUAUCUCUCCCCAGAGGGACUAACCAACUGCCCAUGAGGAAGUUGAUUAUUUUGGAUGCCUUCCCUCUUGGAAGGGACAGUGAUUUAUUAUCACUAGAAUUGGCUCAUUCUUUAUUUGAUUUGCUUUCUUCACCCACAGUUCUUCUGCAAACACUGCCAGCACCAUACACAAAUUUUCUAUGUUUUUCGUCAUCAAGUGUCUUAUACAACAUUCUUUAUGAUAAAGAGUGUUUUGGCAAAAGAAGAGUAGCAAUGGGCUUGUGUGUAUACUAUUCACUGGUUUUACCCUGAAUUCCUUCAUCCUUGGCCUAUCGAAUACCCGCCAAAAGUGAAGGAGAGAUUUCUAGUGUCCUUAUGCUUUUAGACUUACAGCUUUAUUGUCCAAAGGAGUAAUGAUGUGGUACAAGAUUAUUAAUUACACUUUUAUUAUUUAGUGAUAUGACUAGUUAGUAAGUAAUUAUUUCCAUUUCUAUUUGCCUUAUUAUUUUUCUUCUAUGUGCUCUAAAAGUGAGAUAUAAACAUCCAACAUUAACUUAGUGUUUAUUAUUUUAAAGAUGGUUUUAGUGCAAUGUUUGACAUGAGAAUAUUAUAUAAACUAGCAUCAAGUGAUUUUUACUGACAUUUAUGCAUGAGGUUACUACUUUAUUCAAAUAAGGAUAUUAAGAGCUAGACUUCAAAUCCCAUUUAAAUUCUGAUUUUGUUUAGUAUAAUUUUUUGAGCCAGAUAACUUCAUGUAUUUUAAAGGAUUCUAAAUGAACAGUCAGAUAUUAAAGUCAGAAACUGGUUCAAAUGCCUUGUCAAAAGUCUUUGAGAUUAUUUAUAGAAAUAUUUAGUGAUGUAAUUUUAGGAUCUUGGUAAAUUUCAUAUUGCUUUGAUUACAUUUUAAAAAGAUUUAGUGCCCAAAAUAGCUAAAAAUUUAAGCUAAUGUAUACUUUAAGAGAGAUACCUUAUAUUACAAUAACUGAAAAUUUUUUUAUGAGAUGUCUUCUGUAAAAACACAUAGAUCACUCGAGGAAAAUGUCAGCAAGAUAAAGACACACUAUUAAUAUAAACAGUUAAAUGUUCUGAUCUAAAUGUGGUACACUCAGGAUAAAAUUAGAACCAAAAGUUAAACCAAAUAUAGCAAGUAACUUUAAAAAUAUGUAACCUAGAGGUUAACGUAAGCUAUUCUGAAAUGAGCAUAUGAAAUGUACAGAAUGCAUAAAGCUAAAGGUGAGUGUUACAGGCAUUUAAAAAAUUUACUUUGCUUCUCUCAAAGGAAAAAAAAAUGGAGUUCAGUAUAAUCUUUUCCAUAAUAGGAAAUAAAGCUUUACAGGCAAAAGUGUAGUGAGUCUGAUGCAGAAAACUUACACCUGUAUCUUUUCAUCAACUGAGGUAAGAAUCUAUAGCCAGCAAAAAAAUCAGCUUGAGUUUUGUCAUUGACCAAAUCAGGACAAUUUUCCUGACAUGAAAAGCUUUCUAAUGAAUGCUAAAUGGAACUGGAAGCCAGAAUUUGAUUCAAGCCUCCGUUCUGCCAGUGAUGAUGUGACCCUGAGUACAUAGUUCACCUUCCUGGGCCUUAGUUCCUUUGUGUGUAAAGUGGGGGUGACAAUUUGUUCCCUUGUCAAACAUGCUGAGUUCUGAGAAUUAAGUGAAAAAUCUAGUACACAUUUGUAAUAUGAAUAUAUGGAGAUAUCUAAAGUCAUUUUGUAGAUUAUAAAGCCCUAACUGCAAGUCAAUUAUUUAUUGUUCUAUCCCAAGCUCACAGUCUUAUCUGAGAAUCUUUUUUUUUUUUUUUAUUUAAAGGAUGAUGCUUGGUUAAAAUAUUUUGCU
Long non-coding RNA from Nyctereutes procyonoides (raccoon dog), 2919 nucleotides. RefSeq lists it as uncharacterized. NCBI's taxonomy places the organism in Eukaryota, Metazoa, Chordata, Mammalia, Carnivora, Canidae. The transcript is spliced from 3 exons. The record is from RefSeq and is a predicted model, not a curated record.